UCGCCGAAAGACCAAGGGUUCCUGCGUAAAGCUAAUCUGCGCAGGGUUAGCCGGCCCCUAAGGCGAGGCCGAAAGGCGUAGUCGAUGGGAACCACGUUAAUAUUCGUGGGCCAAGGGAUGAGUGACGGAUUUCGAAAGUUGUAUUCCCUUAUUGGAUUGGGAAUGCAGCCUGGAAGUUCCUGGAAAUAGCCUCCCUAUUAAACCGUACCCGAAACCGACACAGGUGGGCAGGUAGAGUAUACCAAGGCGCUUGAGAGAACUAUGUUGAAGGAACUCGGCAAAUUGCACGCGUAACUUC
This 298-nucleotide ribosomal RNA is filed under the name Pseudo-nitzschia fraudulenta. RNAcentral's name for it is "partial Bacterial large subunit ribosomal RNA". It matches the Rfam family "Bacterial large subunit ribosomal RNA", at positions 1334 to 1737 of the family's 2925-position model. The record is from RNAcentral. Lineage: Eukaryota; Bacillariophyta; Bacillariophyceae; Bacillariales; Bacillariaceae.